CCUGCCCAGAGCCUCAGGUUUGUCCGAAUGGGUGCACCAGUCACCUAACUCCAGGCCAAGUCCGCUGACCUGCUUCUCUCAUGCACGCUCCUCGUGGAUGUGUGUGUGCUGAAUUCAACAAGGACACAUGGGACUGGGGAAAAUAGACAUGUGUUAUGGCUGCCCCCACUGGUGCAGAGCACUGACAAGUUUUAAUUAAUUCCAGAGCAACCUUGUGAGAGUCAGUUCUCCCAACAUGCUCUGGAUGUGAAAACCUGGGGCAGAGAAAUUGAGAUACCUGAGAUACUAGACUGGGCCACGGGAGAAGGGGUCGCCACACCGUGCCCACCUCUCCUCACCCGCCCAAGGCUGGAGCCUGCACUCGCACCUUACCCUAGGAGAGCUGGAAUGGACGUUACCCUGUAAAGUCACCAGGUAACAGGUCUAUGCUGAUGGUUCACUGGUUCCACUUACCACAAAGUAAGGAGCCUCGUGUACCGGAUUUGUGCUUUUAAGUCUGCUUCGUGUCUGUACAAUGCCUGGGGGAUUUCAGGCCCCUGAAAAGUCCUAUUCGUCCAUCCUUUUGAAUUCUUAGGUUUGUAAUCAUUAGCACACAGAUUCCCAAGGACAGAGAUGAGGUAUGCAGUACAUAAGCCAAAAUAACUGACAAGGAAGACGAUGCUAAUAUAGAAAAAAAUCAGUGCAUCCACAAAAAUGCAAAGCCCGUUGCCUAAAUCAUUCGAGGGAGGAGAGUCAUGAAAAUGCAAGGACUCUCUGACUCACUUGCCUAGGAAGUCCAUGACAUCUGACGACCACUACACGCCGGUCUUGUUGAGACGCCAUGGUGUGUGGUGUGAAUAAACACACUCGUGGUAGGAUCACAGGCUCUUUCCGACAUGCGCUAAGCCCAAGAUAAGGGUGAGUCUCACCAGUGCACGGACUCCCCUCGGGGCCUGGCACCCGGGCACACAGACGGAGCAGCCCCGUGUCCCGGCUAACACCUGAAGUCCCAGCCCGGUCAUCGAGGUGCUCCCGUUCCCUUUCAGUAAGUUAUGCGGCCACCCCCCUGACAAAGCAAAGGGCAUUACUGAGCACUGGGGAGGUGUUCAAAUCC
Myotis davidii is the source of this 1093-nucleotide long non-coding RNA. RefSeq lists it as uncharacterized. The record is from RefSeq and is a predicted model, not a curated record. Lineage: Eukaryota; Metazoa; Chordata; Mammalia; Chiroptera; Vespertilionidae. The transcript is spliced from 3 exons.